UACGGAGGGUGCAAGCGUUAUCCGGAUUCACUGGGUUUAAAGGGUGCGUAGGCGGGUGUGUAAGUCCGUGGUGAAAUCUCCGAGCUUAACUCGGAAACUGCCAUGGGUACUGCAUGUCUUGAAUGUUGUGGAGGUGAGCGGAAUAUGUCAUGUAGCGGUGAAAUGCUUAGAUAUGACAUAGAACACCAAUUGCGAAGGCAGCUCACUACACAAAUAUUGACGCUGAGGCACGAAAGCGUGGGGAUCAAACAGG
This 253-nucleotide ribosomal RNA is filed under the name uncultured bacterium. RNAcentral describes it as "partial 16S ribosomal RNA". It matches the Rfam family "Bacterial small subunit ribosomal RNA", at positions 524 to 776 of the family's 1533-position model. The record is from RNAcentral.